AUACGGAGGGUGCAAGCGUUACUCGGAAUCACUGGGCGUAAAGCGCGCGCAGGCGGGCUGAUAAGUUGGAUGUGAAAGCCUACGGCUCAACCGUAGAACUGCAUCCAAAACUGUCAGUCUAGAGUCUGGGAGGGGAAGAUGGAAUUAGUUGUGUAGGGGUAAAAUCCGUAGAGAUAACUAGGAAUACCAAAAGCGAAGGCGGUCUUCUGGAACAGUACUGACGCUGAGGCGCGAAAGCGUGGGGAGCAAACAGGAUUAGAAACCCUAGUAGUCC
RNAcentral lists this ribosomal RNA (274 nucleotides) under uncultured bacterium. RNAcentral describes it as "partial 16S ribosomal RNA". It matches the Rfam family "Bacterial small subunit ribosomal RNA", at positions 523 to 796 of the family's 1533-position model. The record is from RNAcentral.